Molecule: ribosomal RNA, 1576 nt
Filed under: Shewanella pneumatophori
Lineage: Bacteria; Pseudomonadati; Pseudomonadota; Gammaproteobacteria; Alteromonadales; Shewanellaceae
Description: partial 23S ribosomal RNA
Rfam family: Bacterial large subunit ribosomal RNA
Source: RNAcentral
CUGGAGGUAUCAGAAGUGCGAAUGCUGACAUGAGUAACGAUAAAGGGGGUGAAAAACCUCCUCGCCGAAAGACCAAGGGUUCCUGUCCAACGUUAAUCGGGGCAGGGUGAGUCGACCCCUAAGGCGAGGCCGAAAGGCGUAGUCGAUGGGAAACGGGUUAAUAUUCCCGUACUUCUGCUAACUGCGAUGGAGAGACGGAGAAGGCUAGGCUAGCGCGGCGUUGGUUGUCCGCGUUUAAGGUUGUAGGCUGUACACUUAGGCAAAUCCGGGUGUACUUAAGGCUGAGAGCUGAUGACGAGGUCCUAAGGGACUGAAGUAGUUGAUGCCAUGCUUCCAGGAAAAUCUUCUAAGCUUCAGGUUAGUAGGAAUCGUACCCCAAACCGACACAGGUGGUCGGGUAGAGAAUACCAAGGCGCUUGAGAGAACUCGGCUGAAGGAACUAGGCAAAAUGGUACCGUAACUUCGGGAGAAGGUACGCUCCUAGCGGUGAUGAGACUUGCUCUCUAAGCUGCCGGGAGUCGCAGAUACCAGGUGGCUGCAACUGUUUAUCAAAAACACAGUACUGUGCAAACUCGCAAGAGGAAGUAUACGGUAUGACGCCUGCCCGGUGCCGGAAGGUUAAUUGAUUGGGUUAUCUUCGGAGAAGCUCAUGAUCGAAGCCCCGGUAAACGGCGGCCGUAACUAUAACGGUCCUAAGGUAGCGAAAUUCCUUGUCGGGUAAGUUCCGACCUGCACGAAUGGCGUAAUGAUGGCCACGCUGUCUCCAGCCGAGACUCAGUGAAGUUGAAAUUGCGGUGAAGAUGCCGUAUACCCGCGGCUAGACGGAAAGACCCCGUGAACCUUUACUAUAGCUUGGCACUGAACAUUGAACCUACAUGUGUAGGAUAGGUGGGAGACUUUGAAGCAUGAACGCUAGUUUGUGUGGAGUCGUCCUUGAAAUACCACCCUUGUAGUUUUGAUGUUCUAACCGCGGCCCCUGAAUCGGGGUUCGGGACAGUGCCUGGUGGGUAGUUUGACUGGGGCGGUCUCCUCCCAAAGAGUAACGGAGGAGCACGAAGGUUGGCUAAGUACGGUCGGACAUCGUACGGUUAGUGCAAUGGCAUAAGCCAGCUUAACUGCGAGACAUACACGUCGAGCAGGUACGAAAGUAGGUCAUAGUGAUCCGGUGGUUCUGUAUGGAAGGGCCAUCGCUCAACGGAUAAAAGGUACUCCGGGGAUAACAGGCUGAUACCGCCCAAGAGUUCAUAUCGACGGCGGUGUUUGGCACCUCGAUGUCGGCUCAUCACAUCCUGGGGCUGAAGUCGGUCCCAAGGGUAUGGCUGUUCGCCAUUUAAAGUGGUACGCGAGCUGGGUUCAGAACGUCGUGAGACAGUUCGGUCCCUAUCUGCCGUGGGCGUUGGAUGAUUGAAGGAAGCUGCUCCUAGUACGAGAGGACCGGAGUGGACGAACCGCUGGUGUUCGGGUUGUUAUGCCAAUAGCAUUGCCCGGUAGCUACGUUCGGAAUCGAUAACCGCUGAAAGCAUCUAAGCGGGAAGCGAGUCCUAAGAUGAGUCAUCCCUAGGAAUUUAAUUCCUCU